CACAGCACAGCACAGCACAGCACAGUAGAACAGGGACACCACUCUACAACUCACUUACUAUAUAACUGUGCAACUAUACUUAAGCAUUACUAUACUUACACUUAGUUCAACAUUACUAUACUUUAUACUUAGUUUACUCGUUACUAUACUUUAUACUAAGUUUACUCAUUACUAUACUUACACCAAAUUCAACAAUAGUAGUGGCAUGAAUGACCACAUGUAGUGUUCACCCUGCACAUAUGAACAUAUGAAUAUGCGCGUCUUCUCUUCAGAAAGCAACCUUUCCAGGUAGUCAAACUUUGUAAAAUUGUGUCCAACUAUUCAUCGUUAGUUAUGUAUGAGUAAGGUUCAGUUUGGAUUUAGCAUGUUGUACAUACGUCGUCCAUUUAUUAUAGGCUUGCAUGGAUAAUCUUAUACAUAUAAACAAGCGUCGCCUUGUAUGCAGGCCUAAAACAAAAAAGGAAAGUCAAAAUAUGAGAAACCUAUGCGGGAAAGAAUUUAAGUCGAGGUGCAUACUUGAACGUCACAUUGCCACCCAUACGACGGAGAUGACUUGCACGUGUUCCAUUUGCUGGAAAAGUUGCGCGGGAACGGGGACUUUGAAGGACCAUAAGCUAACUCAUCUAGGAAAAUCGGCGCGUCCCAAAUUUCCAUGCAAUCUAUGCCCCCGGUUAUUCCUAAGUAAAUCAUGGUUGCUUUUCCAUAUCCGAAAUGUACACGAAAAUAAGCGCAAUUAAGCGUGCACAUUUUGUGACAAGAAGUUCGCGGCUGCGAGAGAUUUAAAACGUCACGUGGUCGGGCUACCCGCCGACAAGGAAUUGAUUUAUUCUUAGAAUAAGUGCGAGUAUAGGAGUCACUCGAAAUAUAAUUAGCGUCGCACCAGCGGCGACAUGUUGGUAAGCCCUCGUGUUACUUCUGCGGAGAAAAAUUUUCAAAUUUGUUUAGGCACAUGAUCGGAAGACAUAUUAUGGAGAAAUAGAUAGAUAAAAGUUGGGUAAACUGGGUAGAAAGUUAUUAUCAUUUGGUUGGCAUUGGCAACUCGGCAACAUUGCCAACACGUUAAUAUAUAAAUGAUAACCAAAAUAUAUUUACCCAUCAGAGUAAACACAUAUUUCAUUUUGUUCAACACAAUUAAAUGCACGAAUCAUUUAAAUAUUUGCGUGUGAAUUGUGGUGAAUUAUGAAACACCUGUUCAUUAAAAUAUAUAAUUUUUUUACACAAAGGAAAUCCACCAAGUUGUCUUUUCAUCAUCGAAUAAUUGACUCCAUUACUGUGAACAUUUGUUAUGGUAGUGUGGAUUUUAUUCAGCAUAGGAAAAAAUAAUCUCCAUCCGAUAGUUUUAAAGUAAAUGCUUCGGUAAUUUGCAUACAAACGGGCAUAAAAGAUUUGUGAUGUUUUCCAAACUUUUGUACAUAUGAUUUAGAGCAUAGCACGAAUCUGAAUCAUGAUUCAGAUUCCAAUCUCGAAUUUGAAUUGGAAUCUCGGUAGGAAGGAUUCAGGCUGAAUCCGAAUUCAGGGAAGACGGGUUCGAAUCUACAUGAAUCUUGAUCCAGAUGAAUUUUAAUCUAGGAGCACGGAUGUUACCAAUCCAUUAAUAAGAUUUAACUAAAAUAAUUAGUCAAACUGGAUUCGAUUUAACUAUUCACUUUAAAUUUUCACCAUUCAUCAUUUUUCAUCAUUCAUCUUUCAUCAUUGGGGGUUUUGUUCGCAUUCGGUCCAGUUUUUCCGGAUUCAUCCGGCUGAAAGGUAUCAGAAUCCUUUCAGCUUUGGAUUCGAAUCCACCUGAAUCAGGACUAAUUUGAAUCUGAAUACCGAUUUUUGGGAUUUAUGCGAUGCAUAUAUGUAAGCAUGCGUUCAGCGUAUGUAGUAUGUACAUACAUGCAUACCUAUUCAUGAAUUAUGUUUGAAGAUACAACAUUUUAAUUGAGAACAUACAUAUUUGCAUAUUUAUAAUUCUUAACUUUAUUAAUGUGGUGUUUUCUAAAGAAUAAGUGACACAUUUGUAGUAGAAUUUUUUCUGCUAGUCACCUCAUUUGCAUAUUUUGAUGCAUUCGCGAGAGACAUAGAGUUUACUUAACAUUGAAACCCCGUAUCGCCGAAAUGGGUAUCAUGAGAUUUAUACAAAUGAGGUGACCCGCAACAAUAAUUUUAGAGUACAUGUGUAAUUAUUGCACAAGAUUUAGCACGACGCUUAAUAACACGAGUAAUGAGAAAUAAUUAAUCAGUACAAUUAUGAGUAAUACAUUAAAAGUUCAGCGUGCAAAGCUAAUCAUAAUCAUGAUGCAUUAUCAUGUCAAAUUUUGAAGGACAAAUUUCGAAUAAAAAAAUAAUGCACAAUAUGGUCAAUUAUCUAGAAGCCAGUCAGCCAAAUAAAAGAUGAAAUGUGAAUACGUCAAUG
Molecule: long non-coding RNA, 2398 nt
Organism: Folsomia candida
Lineage: Eukaryota; Metazoa; Arthropoda; Collembola; Entomobryomorpha; Isotomidae
Exons: 3
Source: RefSeq, a predicted model, not a curated record